GACACAGCAGGGAUGCUGGGCUGGAUGCUCAAAAGAACCACAAGGAUCAUUUUAUGAAUCUGUGUCAGAGCCCUAUCCACGUCCUCUCCACCACAGGAGGACUCCCCAGCCUGGCCAGGGGCUGCUCACCUGGACAAGGGUUUCCAGGGCUGGAAAAAACACUAUGAUGCCUGCCUGCCUGCCUCAGACCACUAAAAAAUGGAUCCCUGGACUCUUGUUCUGCCUUUCACCUGAAAUAUAAUUCCCUAAGCUGGGGGAAGAAUGCAAGGGGAGCAGCUUUCUUAUUGCUUUUGCAUCUGGCUGCAAAGCUGUGGGACACAGAGGGAAUACACAGCAAGGACUGCUGCAGGUAUGUCUUGUUUCCUCAUCCUUCCUCCCUCCUCCCCACCCCCUUCCUCUGGUUUUGUUUUUAAUUUUUGGCAAUGCUGUUAACAAGCAGCCUCUGGGGAAUACAGAACCAGUGCUGUGGAAAAUAAGAGGAGAGGAAACUUCCAAGUAUUUGGGAGCCCAGCAUCCUCCUGGCCUUUGUGCAGCGCAACUCGGCAGCAUCAGCUCGGUGUGAAAGCUGGAUCCACCCUGAGACAACACAGGCUGCACAUCUGAGGACAUGUUCAUAAAGAAGAGAGGUGCUGCACCAAACUCCAGUGUUCUCACCUCUGGUCCACCACCCUUUCAGUUAAAUCAAGAGGCAUUUUUAUCCAGCUGUAACUGCACCUGAGUAGCUGUCCUCCUGUGCUACGAAAAUAAGACCUGAAAUUUGCCUGAUAAUGUUCUUUUCCUACAUUGUAGGUGAUCCUUCCAGUGAACUUGGCACAAGCUUUGCCCAAGUUGAAAACAAAAAACCAACUCCUG
Molecule: long non-coding RNA, 852 nt
Filed under: Parus major (Great Tit)
Lineage: Eukaryota; Metazoa; Chordata; Aves; Passeriformes; Paridae
Description: lncRNA (ENSPMJG00000002492.1)
Source: RNAcentral